CGGGGCAUAGCGCAGUCUGGUAGCGCGUCUGGUUUGGGACCAGAAGGUCGCAGGUUCGAAUCCUGCUGCCCCGACCA
RNAcentral lists this transfer RNA (77 nucleotides) under Bradyrhizobium sp. RNAcentral describes it as "tRNA-Pro". It matches the Rfam family "tRNA". From Rfam's summary of the family: Transfer RNA (tRNA) molecules are approximately 80 nucleotides in length. Their secondary structure includes four short double-helical elements and three loops (D, anti-codon, and T loops). Further hydrogen bonds mediate the characteristic L-shaped molecular structure. tRNAs have two regions of fundamental functional importance: the anti-codon, which is responsible for specific mRNA codon recognition, and the 3' end, to which the tRNAs corresponding amino acid is attached (by aminoacyl-tRNA synthetases). tRNAs cope with the degeneracy of the genetic code in two manners: having more than one tRNA (with a specific anti-codon) for a particular amino acid; and 'wobble' base-pairing, i.e. permitting non-standard base-pairing at the 3rd anti-codon position. RNAcentral also lists the same sequence under 9 other names. Lineage: Bacteria; Pseudomonadati; Pseudomonadota; Alphaproteobacteria; Hyphomicrobiales; Nitrobacteraceae. The record is from RNAcentral.